Molecule: ribosomal RNA, 814 nt
Filed under: uncultured bacterium
Lineage: Bacteria
Description: bacterial SSU rRNA
Rfam family: Bacterial small subunit ribosomal RNA
Source: RNAcentral
GGGGCAAGCGUUAUCCGGAAUUACUGGGUGUAAAGGGAGCGUAGACGGCUGUGCAAGUCUGGAGUGAAAGGCGGGGGCCCAACCCCCGGACUGCUCUGGAAACUGUAUGGCUGGAGUGCAGGAGAGGUAAGCGGAAUUCCUAGUGUAGCGGUGAAAUGCGUAGAUAUUUUGAGGAACACCAGNGGCGAAGGCGGCNNACNGGACAGUAACNGACGNNGAGGCUCGAAAACGNGGGGAGCCCCUAUAAGGAGGGANNNNGGNAGUNCANGCAAANAAAGAGGACCCUGAUGGAUCGGAGGGUAUGGACCCUCCGGUGCCGCAGCAAACGCAGUAAGUAAUCCACCUGGGGAGUACGUUCGCAAGAAUGAAACUCAAAGGAAUUGACGGGGACCCGCACAAGCGGUGGAGCAUGUGGUUUAAUCCGAAGCAACGCGAAGAACCUUACCAAGUCUUGACAUCUGGAUGACAGGGACGUAACGGUCCCCUUACUUCGGUACAUCCAAGACAGGUGGUGCAUGGUUGUCGUCAGCUCGUGUCGUGAGAUGUUGGGUUAAGUCCCGCAACGAGCGCAACCCUUAUCCUUAGUAGCCAGCGGGCAGGGCCGGGCACUCUAGGGAGACUGCCGGGGAUAACCCGGAGGAAGGUGGGGAUGACGUCAAAUCAUCAUGCCCCUUAUGAUUUGGGCUACACACGUGCUACAAUGGCGUAAACAGAGGGAAGCGAACCCGCGAGGGGGAGCAAAUCCCAAAAAUAACGUCCCAGUUCGGAUUGUAGCCUGCAACCCGGCUACAUGAAGCUGGAAUCGCUAGUAAUC